Molecule: non-coding RNA, 24 nt
Filed under: Cricetulus griseus (Chinese hamster)
Lineage: Eukaryota; Metazoa; Chordata; Mammalia; Rodentia; Cricetidae
Source: RNAcentral
GACAAGGGAAGAGGAUGAAGACAG